RNAcentral lists this ribosomal RNA (492 nucleotides) under uncultured bacterium. Its description in RNAcentral is "partial 16S ribosomal RNA". It matches the Rfam family "Bacterial small subunit ribosomal RNA", at positions 29 to 507 of the family's 1533-position model. The record is from RNAcentral.
AGUGAACGCUGGCGGUAGGCCUAACACAUGCAAGUCGAACGGCAGCACAGUAAGAGCUUGCUCUUACGGGUGGCGAGUGGCGGACGGGUGAGGAAUACAUCGGAAUCUACUUUUUCGUGGGGGAUAACGUAGGGAAACUUACGCUAAUACCGCAUACGACCUACGGGUGAAAGCAGGAGAGCUUCGGACCUUGCCCGAUUGAAUGAGACGAUGUCGGAUUAGCUAGUUGGCGGGGUAAAGGCCCACCAAGGCGACGAUCCGUAGCUGGUCUGAGAGGAUGAUCAGCCACACUGGAACUGAGACACGGUCCAGACUCCUACGGGAGGCAGCAGUGGGGAAUAUUGGACAAUGGGCGCAAGCCUGAUCCAGCCAUACCGCGUGGGUGAAGAAGGCCUUCGGGUUGUAAAGCCCUUUUGUUGGGAAAGAAAAGCAGCAGGUUAAUACCCCGCUGUUCUGACGGUACCCAAAGAAUAAGCACCGGCUAACUUCGUG